Molecule: non-coding RNA, 357 nt
Organism: Phoenix dactylifera (date palm)
Lineage: Eukaryota; Viridiplantae; Streptophyta; Magnoliopsida; Arecales; Arecaceae
Source: RefSeq, a predicted model, not a curated record
UUUUUUAUUGCUGAACCAGUGAUGGUGAACCUUCUCCCAAAUUCCAAUCUCCCGACUCCCGUUCUCUGGUUCUCAGCAGACUCGGAAGCUCGGUUCUCAGUGCUCCGAAGUCCUCUCCAAGCUCCACCGCAGCACGCCAGCACCGCUCCUCUUUCCUCGCCGUGCUCGGCUCUUCCGACUCCGACCUCCGACCUCCGAGGCUCUUCCAUCAUGGGCCUCUACAUGCUCGAUUGGUGGGAGCGCUACCUCUUCAACAUAUUAAUCCUUAUUUUGCUCUGGUUCAUCUGCUACAAUGGAUCUCGUUUCGCAACUGAGUUCUAUGAAAGGUAAAAUCUCUUUCCCUAAUUUUGUUUUCUA